AGCGGCGGACGGUGAGUAACGCGUGGGUAACCUACCUCAUACAGGGGGAUAACAGUUGGAAACGGCUGCUAAUACCGCAUAAGCGCACAGUACCGCAUGGUACCGUGUGAAAAACUCCGGUGGUAUGAGAUGGACCCGCGUCUGAUUAGCUAGUUGGUGGGGUAACGGCCUACCAAGGCGACGAUCAGUAGCCGACCUGAGAGGGUGACCGGCCACAUUGGGACUGAGACACGGCCCAA
Molecule: ribosomal RNA, 239 nt
Filed under: uncultured bacterium
Lineage: Bacteria
Description: partial 16S ribosomal RNA
Rfam family: Bacterial small subunit ribosomal RNA
Source: RNAcentral